Molecule: ribosomal RNA, 253 nt
Filed under: uncultured bacterium
Lineage: Bacteria
Description: partial 16S ribosomal RNA
Rfam family: Bacterial small subunit ribosomal RNA
Source: RNAcentral
UACGUAGGGGGCAAGCGUUGUCCGGAUUUAUUGGGCGUAAAGAGCGUGUAGGCGGCUAGGUAGGUCCGUUGUGAAAACUCGAGGCUCAACCUCGAGACGCCGAUGGAAACCAUCUAGCUAGAGUCCGGAAGAGGAGAGUGGAAUUCCUGGUGUAGCGGUGAAAUGCGCAGAUAUCAGGAAGAACACCCGUGGCUAAGGCGGCUCUCUGGACAGUUCCUGACGCUGAGGCACGAAGGCCAGGGGAGCAAACGGG